GACCUUGAGAUACUGCACCAGCUCCACACUCAAUCAGGAAAAAAACAAUGAAAAUUAGUGUGACUGUGUCAGAUGAAGAUGUUCCAGUCUGCUUUAAUUCUGACUCUAGUUACCCAGAAACUGUCUAUCCAGUUGUAUGUGAAAACCUGGAGUAAGGGAUAUUCAGCCAAAUUUCAUCAUCUGCCAGGCUGCUCAGGCCAAAAGGCAGCAGGAAGCUGUUGACAAUGCAGAGAGGCCCCAAAACAGGCCAUAAUAGCACAAGCCAAGUGCUAGGAAUUUAGUGCAACAUUCCACGGCUGAGAGAAGAUGAGCAACAAGACAAAAACAUUAUCCUGGCAAGGAAGUGCUCAAGGAUGUAAUUAACAAUGUGUGGCACUGAAAGGUGUGGGGCUUUCCUGUCCCAUGGGGCCUGUCUCACAGAAGUUUAGCCUUCAAAGUUCCUGGCAAGUUGUGUGACAGCUGAGAGCCACGUCUCUGCUAGGGCCAACCGUGCCACAUGGACAACGAUUUUCUAGUGCUCCCUUUCUGAAGCUGCAGCCACCUUCAUGCUUUAGUUUUAAAGCAUGCCUGACAAGAUAAUUUCUUAUAUUUUUACUAGUGCAGUUAUUCAGCCUUUUUUUUUUUUUAUUGCAAGUUAUAAUUUAAUUUGUGUAUUUUUGAAAAAAAAAAUGUUUUGAAUUCCUCAUGGUAGUCAAGAUCUUUUUCAGUCUAUUUUUUAACCAUUUUAAAAUUGUAUUGCCUCUUUGGUAAAUAUCAGUAAUUCAAUAUUUAUGGGUUUUGUUCUUUUACAUAUAAAUGUUUCUCCUAGGAUUAAGCUUGAAAUAAAUUGCUUCAUGUUGUUACCCAUUACUUGUAUUCAUGGGUAAAUUAAAGUGUC
Oxyura jamaicensis (ruddy duck) is the source of this 877-nucleotide long non-coding RNA. RefSeq lists it as uncharacterized. NCBI's taxonomy places the organism in Eukaryota, Metazoa, Chordata, Aves, Anseriformes, Anatidae. The record is from RefSeq and is a predicted model, not a curated record. The transcript has 3 exons.